AGUAAACGGCGGCCGUAACUAUAACGGUCCUAAGGUAGCGAAAUUCCUUGUCGGGCAAGUUCCGACCUGCACGAAUGGCAUAACGAUGGCCACACUGUCUCCUCCUGAGACUCAGUGAAGUUGAAGUGUUUGUGAUGAUGCAAUCUCCCCGCGGCUAGACGGAAAGACCCCAUGAACCUUUACUGCAGCUUUGCAUUGGACUUUGAACCGAUCUGUGUAGGAUAGGUGGGAGGCUGUGAAACCGGGACGCCAGUCUCGGCGGAGCCGUCCUUGAAAUACCACCCUGAUUUGUUUGAGGUUCUAACCUAGGCCAGUCAUCCUGGUCGGGGACCGUGCAUGGUGGGCAGUUUGACUGGGGCGGUCUCCUCCUAAAGGGUAACGGAGGAGUGCGAAGGUACGCUAGGUACGGUCGGAAAUCGUGCUGAUAGUGCAAUGGCAAAAGCGUGCUUGACUGCGAGACCCACAAGUCGAGCAGAUACGAAAGUAGGUCAUAGUGAUCCGGUGGCUCUGUAUGGAAGGGCCAUCGCUCAACGGAUAAAAGGUACUCUGGGGAUAACAGGCUGAUACCGCCCAAGAGUUCAUAUCGACGGCGGUGUUUGGCACCUCGAUGUCGGCUCAUCUCAUCCUGGGGCUGUAGCCGGUCCCAAGGGUAUGGCUGUUCGCCAUUUAAAGAGGUACGUGAGCUGGGUUUAAAACGUCGUGAGACAGUUUUGUCCCUAUCUGCCGUGGGCGUUGGAAGAUUGACGGGGGCUGCUCCUAGUACGAGAGGACCGGAGUGGACUGACCUCUGGUGUACCGGUUGUCACGCCAGUGGCAUCGCCGGGUAGCUAUGUCGGGAAGAGAUAACCGCUGAAAGCAUCUAAGCGGGAAACUUGCCUGAAGAUAAGUCUUCCUGGAGGCUUGACCUCCCUGAAGAGUCGUUCGAGACCAGGACGUUGAUAGGUCGGGUGUGUAAGCGCUGUGAGGCGUUGAGCUAACCGAUACUAAUUGCUCGUGCAGCUUGAUCCU
Molecule: ribosomal RNA, 1008 nt
Filed under: metagenome
Description: bacterial LSU rRNA
Rfam family: Bacterial large subunit ribosomal RNA
Source: RNAcentral